Molecule: long non-coding RNA, 755 nt
Organism: Bubalus bubalis (water buffalo)
Lineage: Eukaryota; Metazoa; Chordata; Mammalia; Artiodactyla; Bovidae
Exons: 3
Source: RefSeq, a predicted model, not a curated record
GGGCGCUGUCCUAAGUCGCCGCCGCCGCUGCAACAUCUGAAAGUCCUUUUCUGCCGCAGGAGGAAGCGGCGCAGUUUGGAAGCCACGGCAGGGGCCGAGAGCGCUUCCGAACUGGGGCCCCGGGGGGCAGCGAAGGGAUGAAGUCAACAGAACUCCCACCUGGAGAGGGAGGUGCCCAGACGCUUGCUCCUUCCUGGAUGUUUGCUUCUACUGCCCCAAAUUGGCUGAGGAGAUUGCCACUCUCAAAGGCAAAGGCAGAGGUCCUUCAGUUUCACAGGGAUUGGGCCAUCUUCUACCUUCUGCAAGUGCAGACUGUCCAGGUGAGAGGAGGGAGGCAGAGGGGCUAGCAGCUGACCCCGCGCAGGGACAGAACCAAAAGUUGCAAACUGACGGCACCUACUGGCAAGACUGCAGAAGGACUGGAGAGUCACUGCUGGGGACACAAUUUCGGGAUGCUCCAUGGACAUCUCACAGACGACUGGGGUCUCUUCUGCCCCAUCUGUCUUGGCCCAAAGAGGGCCAGGCUCCUCCAUUCCUGGGGGAAGCCCAGCCUGUCCCCAAUUCAGAAAACUUCCCCCAGCUCUCCCAACUCCUUCAUCAUCAUGGGACCCAGUUCUGCCACCAACUCACUGUAUGAACUUGGACACCACCCCUUAGAGCUCGAACGUCCCUAACUAGAGUGGAGGUAGGUCAUCUCCACCUCGCCUACCUCUUAAAGCUCCUGUGAGAAUAAACCGGGACCAGGAAGAAUAGUU